RNAcentral lists this ribosomal RNA (253 nucleotides) under uncultured bacterium. RNAcentral describes it as "partial 16S ribosomal RNA". It matches the Rfam family "Bacterial small subunit ribosomal RNA", at positions 524 to 776 of the family's 1533-position model. The record is from RNAcentral.
UACGAAGGGGGCUAGCGUUGCUCGGAAUCACUGGGCGUAAAGGGUGCGUAGGCGGGUCUUUAAGGCAGGGGUGAAAUCCUGGAGCUCAACUCCAGAACUGCCUUUGAUACUGAGGAUCUUGAGUACGGGAGAGGUGAGUGGAACUGCGAGUGUAGAGGUGAAAUUCGUAGAUAUUCGCAAGAACACCAGUGGCGAAGGCGGCUCACUGGCCCGUAACUGACGCUGAGGCACGAAAGCGUGGGGAGCAAACAGG